This 692-nucleotide ribosomal RNA is filed under the name uncultured bacterium. RNAcentral describes it as "bacterial SSU rRNA". It matches the Rfam family "Bacterial small subunit ribosomal RNA", at positions 94 to 803 of the family's 1533-position model. The record is from RNAcentral.
ACCGGCGCACGGGUGCGUAACGCGUAUAGACCUACCUUUUACAGAGGAAUAGCCUUUAGAAAUGAAGAUUAAUGCCUUAUGGUCUGGCAUCAGUAAAGAUUUAUCGGUAAAAGAUGGCUAUGCGUCCUAUUAGUUAGUUGGUAAGGUAACGGCUUACCAAGACAGCGAUAGGUAGGGGUCCUGAGAGGGAGAUCCCCCACACUGGUACUGAGACACGGACCAGACUCCUACGGGAGGCAGCAGUGAGGAAUAUUGGACAAUGGAGGAGACUCUGAUCCAGCCAUGCCGCGUGUAGGAAGAAUGCCUAUGGGUUGUAAACUACUUUUAUACAGGAAGAAACACUGGUAUGUAUACCAGCUUGACGGUACUGUAAGAAUAAGGACCGGCUAACUCCGUGCCAGCAGCCGCGGUAAUACGGAGGGUCCGAGCGUUAUCCGGAAUCAUUGGGUUUAAAGGGUCCGCAGGCGGUCGAUUAAGUCAGAGGUGAAAUCCCAUAGCUCAACUAUGGAACUGCCUUUGAUACUGGUUGACUUGAGUCAUAUGGAAGUAGAUAGAAUGUGUAGUGUAGCGGUGAAAUGCAUAGAUAUUACACAGAAUACCGAUUGCGAACGCAGUCUACUACGUAUGUACUGACGCUGAUGGACGAAGCGUGCGGAGCGACCAGAAUUAGAUACCCUGGUAGUCCACGCCGU